This 47-nucleotide small RNA is filed under the name Acidobacteriia bacterium SbA2. Its description in RNAcentral is "Solibacteres bacterium SbA2 Acido-Lenti-1". It matches the Rfam family "Acido-Lenti-1 RNA". Lineage: Bacteria; Pseudomonadati; Acidobacteriota; Terriglobia. The record is from RNAcentral.
CCCAGGGCUUUCGCCCUGGGCUACUCUAUGCCGCCCCUCUCGGGGCU